This 514-nucleotide ribosomal RNA is filed under the name bacterium enrichment culture clone ALO1_GLFRUDD03HJWUH. RNAcentral describes it as "bacterial SSU rRNA". It matches the Rfam family "Bacterial small subunit ribosomal RNA", at positions 9 to 517 of the family's 1533-position model. The record is from RNAcentral.
GAGUUUGAUCCUGGCUCAGAUUGAACGCUGGCGGCAGGCCUAACACAUGCAAGUCGAGCGGAUGACGGGAGCUUGCUCCUUGAUUCAGCGGCGGACGGGUGAGUAAUGCCUAGGAAUCUGCCUGGUAGUGGGGGACAACGUUUCGAAAGGAACGCUAAUACCGCAUACGUCCUACGGGAGAAAGCAGGGGACCUUCGGGCCUUGCGCUAUCAGAUGAGCCUAGGUCGGAUUAGCUAGUUGGUGGGGUAAUGGCUCACCAAGGCGACGAUCCGUAACUGGUCUGAGAGGAUGAUCAGUCACACUGGAACUGAGACACGGUCCAGACUCCUACGGGAGGCAGCAGUGGGGAAUAUUGGACAAUGGGCGAAAGCCUGAUCCAGCCCAUGCCGCGUGUGUGAAGAAGGUCUUCGGAUUGUAAAGCACUUUAAGUUGGGAGGAAGGGCAGUAAGUUAAUACCUUGCUGUUUUGACGUUACCGACAGAAUAAGCACCGGCUAACUCUGUGCCAGCCGCCG